UCCGCUUCUCAAUGCUCCAUUUGCAAAAUCAAAUUGAUUUUCUUGCAAAUGGGAUGAGAACCGGAAA
This 67-nucleotide microRNA precursor is filed under the name Caenorhabditis briggsae. Its description in RNAcentral is "Cbr-Mir-788-v1_pre stem-loop". Lineage: Eukaryota; Metazoa; Nematoda; Chromadorea; Rhabditida; Rhabditidae. The record is from RNAcentral.